This 934-nucleotide ribosomal RNA is filed under the name uncultured beta proteobacterium. RNAcentral's name for it is "bacterial SSU rRNA". It matches the Rfam family "Bacterial small subunit ribosomal RNA", at positions 52 to 981 of the family's 1533-position model. Lineage: Bacteria; Pseudomonadati; Pseudomonadota; Betaproteobacteria. The record is from RNAcentral.
CACAUGCAAGUCGAACGGCAGCACGGGUGCUUGCACCUGGUGGCGAGUGGCGAACGGGUGAGUAAUACAUCGGAACGUACCUUAUCGUGGGGGAUAACGCAGCGAAAGCUGUGCUAAUACCGCAUACGCCCUGAGGGGGAAAGCGGGGGAUCGAAAGACCUCGCGCGAUUAGAGCGGCCGAUGCCUGAUUAGCUUGUUGGUGGGGUAAAAGCCCACCAAGGCGACGAUCAGUAGCUGGUCUGAGAGGACGAUCAGCCACACUGGGACUGAGACACGGCCCAGACUCCUACGGGAGGCAGCAGUGGGGAAUUUUGGACAAUGGGGGCAACCCUGAUCCAGCAAUGCCGCGUGAGUGAAGAAGGCCUUCGGGUUGUAAAGCUCUUUUGUCAGGGAAGAAACACCGGCUCUAACACAGUCCGGGAAUGACGGUACCUGAAGAAUAAGCACCGGCUAACUACGUGCCAGCAGCCGCGGUAAUACGUAGGGUGCGAGCGUUAAUCGGAAUUACUGGGCGUAAAGCGUGCGCAGGCGGUUAUACAAGACAGGCGUGAAAUCCCCGGGCUUAACCUGGGAAUGGCGCCUGUGACUGUAUAGCUAGAGUGUGUCAGAGGGGGGUAGAAUUCCACGUGUAGCAGUGAAAUGCGUAGAUAUGUGGAGGAAUACCAAUGGCGAAGGCAGCCCCCUGGGAUAACACUGACGCUCAUGCACGAAAGCGUGGGGAGCAAACAGGAUUAGAUACCCUGGUAGUCCACGCCCUAAACGAUGCUGACUAGUUGUUCGGGAUUUACAUCCUGAGUAACGUAGCUAACGCGUGAAGUCAGCCGCCUGGGGAGUACGGUCGCAAGAUUAAAACUCAAAGGAAUUGACGGGGACCCGCACAAGCGGUGGAUGAUGUGGAUUAAUUCGAUGCAACGCGAAAAACCUUACCUACCCU